GAAGACCCUGAGAAAACGUAUUCUAACUUCUGAAGAAGAAAUUAGUGAUUGCAAGUGGAAAUACAGGAGGGAAGUCCCUAAGUUCCCAUUAUGGUCAUUGCAGACUUAAUCAAUUCACAGAGUGGAAUCAAGAGCUGAGCAAACACCGAGCCAACCAAGUGAUAAACUGUGUUUUUUGACUACUCUAAAAAAGUCUCCAGAUAAACAUUCAACCAGGCCUCCACUGGGUGCAAUGGAAGAAUAUGUAUGCAGUCAAACAUAAUCAACGAAAUGCAGAUGUAGAAAUUGAUGAUCUGGCCCUCAUUAGGUACUGGAAGGCCAUAAUUAGGUCACCCCGAGGCCUUUUCUUUUCCAGGAUGAACAAACCCAAGACUCUCAAGCUUUCCUCAUAGGAGAGGUUCUUCCAUUCAUCUAAUCACCCUGGUGGUCCUCCUCUGGACUGGCUCCAACAGGUCAAUGCUCUUCCUGUGCUAUGUUGACAAGAUAGUCAUUAAAGAAGACGGCAAGAGACAUAAACAUGAAGGUCGUAGAACCAUAGAAUCAUGGAGCAGUUUGAGUUUGAAGACAUCUUUACAGGUCAUCUAGUUCAAACUUCCAUUGCAACGAGCAUCUUGAACUACAAGAGGUUGCUGAGAGUCCAGUCCAGUCUGACCAGUAAUGUUUCCAGGAAUAGGGUACUCACCACCUCUCUGGGCAGCCUGCUCCAGGGUCACAUCACCUCCUUUGUAAAAUACUCCUUCCUUAUACUAAAUCUGAGUUGACCUUCUGUGUGCUUUACCUCUUGUCCUAUUGUGACAGACCCUGUGACAAUGUUUGUCCACACCCGUCUCACAAAGCUUUUUCAGUUACUCAAAGACUACAAUACCAUUACCCCAGAGGCUUCUCUUCUGCAGGCUGAACAACCCCAACUCUCGCAGACUUUUCUCAUAGAAGAGAUAUUUCAUCGCUCCAAUCGUCUUCAUGGCCGUCCUCUGGAGUCACUCUACAGGUACGUGCCAUUCCUGUGCUGAGGACAUCAGAGCUGGAUUCAGUACUCCAGGUGGGGUCUCACAAGAAUGAAGGGGAGGAAUCACCUUCAUAGACUUGCUGACCACUUCUUCUCCUGGUGCAGCCCAGGAUGUGGUUGACUUUCUGGACUGGAAAUGCAUACUGCUGGCUCAGGUCCACCCUUUCAUGCACCAGGUCCCACAAGUCCUUCUCAGCAGAACUGUUCUCAAUUCUCCAGCCUGUAAAAUUAUUAAAUUUGAUCUGCAUAAGAUCUAUUAGAUGUCCUCUGGGUAUGAGUUAUUGCCUAACUGAAAAGCUAGCAUAGAAAAUUGUUAUGAUAUUUUCUCAGUGUUUUUGUGUCAUUAUACCUUAAUGUUGUACCAUGCUGAAAAGUAAAAAUUGAAUCAGAGUAAAAAACUGGAAAUGAACACAUGUGAUAUUGUGUAUUAAAAAGUAAAUGCAGGGAAACAGUUUUUGAGCCCAGGGAAAUACAUUUUUGAGCUUUAUUUGGCAAAAUGGUUCAGCAUAUCUUAAGAGUAUGAGAGGAGUUCUGAAAUGGCACCUGUCUGCUUAUCCAUUUGUAAUAUUGACAGAACAUAGAUUUGUAGUAUGCAGAGUUGACAAUUUCCAACCGGAUGUUGAAGCACUGAUCUACAUGACAGGAAUUGUGAUCAUUAGUUGCCAUGCUUGAAAAGGAUGUGGACAGAUUCAAUGUGGUUAGGUGCAAUCAGUCCUGAAAUUAAUGCAUAAAUGGAAGAGACACUUUUUCAUUAUUGCCUACUUUGGGGGAAACAGUGGGUGCACUACUGUCAGAGUUCAGACUGAUAGAUAUUGAUACAAAUCAUUUUUAUAU
Molecule: long non-coding RNA, 1840 nt
Organism: Ficedula albicollis (Collared flycatcher)
Lineage: Eukaryota; Metazoa; Chordata; Aves; Passeriformes; Muscicapidae
Exons: 4
Source: RefSeq, a predicted model, not a curated record